AACGCUGGCGGCGUGCCUAAUACAUGCAAGUCGAACGGUCUUUCUAUGGAAGCUUGCUUCCACUGAGAAGAUAGUGGCGAACGGGUGAGUAACACGUGGGUAACCUGCCCAUAAGAGGGGGAUAACAUCCGGAAACGGGUGCUAAUACCGCAUAGUUUUCUUGAUCGCAUGAUCGGGAAGGAAAGACGGCCUUUGUGCUGUCGCUUAUGGAUGGACCCGCGGCGUAUUAGUUAGUUGGUGAGGUAACGGCUCACCAAGACGAUGAUACGUAGCCGACCUGAGAGGGUGAUCGGCCACAUUGGGACUGAGACACGGCCCAAACUCCUACGGGAGGCAGCAGUAGGGAAUCUUCCGCAAUGGACGAAAGUCUGACGGAGCAACGCCGCGUGAGUGAAGAAAGGUUUUCGGAUCGUAAAACUCUGUUGUCAGAGAAGAACAAGUUGGAGAGUAACUGCUCCAGCCUUGACGGUAUCUGACCAGAAAGCCACGGCUAACUACGUGCCAGCCGCCGC
Molecule: ribosomal RNA, 512 nt
Filed under: uncultured bacterium
Lineage: Bacteria
Description: bacterial SSU rRNA
Rfam family: Bacterial small subunit ribosomal RNA
Source: RNAcentral